GUUUUUCAUUUUCUAUACACCGUAAAAUCUAAAUAUUACUGAUACUGGUCUUCUGUGUUUCUUUCUAUUCUUCAUCUGCAUGCCACUGAUGAGCCUUUACCAUGGUAAAUGUGGGUCAGGUUACAAAAUUAAAAAGGUAUCCAUGGAUUGAGAAUCGACCGGUCAAGGUUCAUAGUAGCAGCAGAGAACAUUGAAGAGCAGAUCCGAUUAAAAUCACAGACAGUCUUUUACAUUGGCUCUGGCAGAGCAAUCAGCCAGCGGAAAUGGAGUGUUGUCGUGUGUUUAUUAAAACCUCGGACGACUUAAAGCGACUCUGUCAGCUGUAAUGCUCAGAACACAGAGACCACAAGCCCAAUCACCUGACAGGCCUGGAGAACCUGCAGACAGCAUCCAGACAGCUGUAGCUGGAGACCAGCAGCACUCAGAUCAGAUCUGGACUGAUGUUCAGCCAGUUCAUCUCAGAGCAUACUGAAUUCGAUAUGGAACACAUUCUCUAGACUGGGCUUCGCAUCACUGCAAUGGUAUGGAGCGAUAAGAAGACCGGACAGAUUCAAAGCCCACUCCUGCACAUACUCAACUGGAGAUGGCAGAGAUGCAAAUGAAGCUAAUGUCCCCUAAGGCCUUGUCCAAUAAUCUACAGCCAUGAAGAGAUAAUUUCUCUGAGUGCCACACUCUGACAACUCCUUAUUCUGCUGUGCCUUUGAUCUUUCUGGAGUCUAUUACAGCAAAUAAACAGAGACAGGCUCCUUACAUGGGAAUAAAUUUGAGGAGAGAAUUUAUAAAACCAAAAGCAUUUAAUUAUUCAGGAGUCACGUUAGGGCUUUAAUUCAAAAAGAAAGAAAAAUGCUAUUUGUUUUUCAGUUCAUUCCAUUU
Molecule: long non-coding RNA, 873 nt
Organism: Carassius gibelio (silver crucian carp)
Lineage: Eukaryota; Metazoa; Chordata; Actinopteri; Cypriniformes; Cyprinidae
Exons: 4
Source: RefSeq, a predicted model, not a curated record